RNAcentral lists this ribosomal RNA (497 nucleotides) under uncultured bacterium. RNAcentral describes it as "partial 16S ribosomal RNA". It matches the Rfam family "Bacterial small subunit ribosomal RNA", at positions 28 to 507 of the family's 1533-position model. The record is from RNAcentral.
GAUGAACGCUGGCGGCGUGCCUAAUACAUGCAAGUCGAGCGAACAGACGAGGAGCUUGCUCCUUUGACGUUAGCGGCGGACGGGUGAGUAACACGUGGGUAACCUACCUAUAAGACUGGGAUAACUUCGGGAAACCGGAGCUAAUACCGGAUAAUAUUUCGAACCGCAUGGUUCGAUAGUGAAAGAUGGCUUUGCUAUCACUUAUAGAUGGACCUGCGCCGUAUUAGCUAGUUGGUAAGGUAACGGCUUACCAAGGCAACGAUACGUAGCCGACCAGAGAGGGUGAUCGGCCACACUGGAACUGAGACACGGUCCAGACUCCUACGGGAGGCAGCAGUAGGGAAUCUUCUGCAAUGGGCGAAAGCCUGACGGAGCAACGCCGCGUGAGUGAUGAAGGUCUUCGGAUCGUAAAACUCUGUUAUUAGGGAAGAACAAACGUGUAAGUAACUGUGCACGUCUUGACGGUACCUAAUCAGAAAGCCACGGCUAACUACGUG